Molecule: transfer RNA, 85 nt
Filed under: Felis catus (domestic cat)
Lineage: Eukaryota; Metazoa; Chordata; Mammalia; Carnivora; Felidae
Rfam family: tRNA
About the family: Transfer RNA (tRNA) molecules are approximately 80 nucleotides in length. Their secondary structure includes four short double-helical elements and three loops (D, anti-codon, and T loops).
Source: Rfam by way of RNAcentral
GCCUGGGUGGCUCAGUUGGUUGAGCGUCCGACUUUGGCUCAGGUCAUGAUCUCACAGUUCGUGGGUUCGAACCCCGCGUCGGGCU